RNAcentral lists this ribosomal RNA (460 nucleotides) under uncultured bacterium. RNAcentral's name for it is "partial 16S ribosomal RNA". It matches the Rfam family "Bacterial small subunit ribosomal RNA", at positions 338 to 795 of the family's 1533-position model. The record is from RNAcentral.
CCUACGGGAGGCAGCAGUGAGGAAUAUUGGUCAAUGGACGCGAGUCUGAACCAGCCAAGUCGCGUGAAGGAUGACUGCCCUAUGGAUUGUAAACUUCUUUUGUAAAGGAAUAAAACGAGGCACGUGUGCCUUUUUGCAUGUACUUUAUGAAUAAGGAUCGGCUAACUCCGUGCCAGCAGCCGCGGUAAUACGGAGGAUCCGAGCGUUAUCCGGAUUUAUUGGGUUUAAAGGGUGCGUAGACGGGAUGUUAAGUCAGUUGUGAAAGUUUGCGGCUCAACCCUAAAAUAGCAAUUGAUACUGGCAGUCUUGAGUACAGUUGAGGUAGGCGGAAUUCGUGGUGUAGCGGUGAAAUGCUUAGAUAUCACGCAGAACCCCGAUUGCGAAGGCAGCAUACCAACCUGUGACUGACACUGAUGCUCGAAAGUGUGGGUAUCAAACAGGAUUAGAUACCCCAGUAGUC